Long non-coding RNA from Lolium rigidum, 451 nucleotides. RefSeq lists it as uncharacterized. The record is from RefSeq and is a predicted model, not a curated record. The transcript is spliced from 3 exons. Lineage: Eukaryota; Viridiplantae; Streptophyta; Magnoliopsida; Poales; Poaceae.
GAAAAACUGUGUUGCUACUAGCCAAGAAGGAGCAAUUGUCAAGCCACUCAUCUGAGAUGCAUCUUCCAGGAGCUUCCCAGGAGGCACAACUGCUGGAAUGUCUGGCUUUGCUGGAGGAAUUGGUGGUGGUACACCUGGAUACAGGUAAUAUCGGUAUGGAUGUCAUCCUGAAUGUAGAGCACUUGGCCACUACAUGACAGCAUUUGGUGACCCUGAGGCCAUGGAGGCUCUUCAAGACGGGAAACUAGAAGGCCCACUUCUAAUCUUAAAGUGACUCGUUUCUCUUUCAAAUUAGGUUGUUGAUGCCAAGGGUGUGUUGGGCGGUCAAGGCCAAGGGAACAUGCUGCAAGACGUAAAUGAUCACCUACAGCAAUAACAACUGUGGUCUCAACCACAAAUCCCCAUUGUUGAGCCCUGCUCCACCUGGAGCUGCUGUCGGCGUCUUCUAAUG